RNAcentral lists this transfer RNA (75 nucleotides) under Nitrospinota bacterium. RNAcentral's name for it is "tRNA-Gln". It matches the Rfam family "tRNA". From Rfam's summary of the family: Transfer RNA (tRNA) molecules are approximately 80 nucleotides in length. Their secondary structure includes four short double-helical elements and three loops (D, anti-codon, and T loops). The record is from RNAcentral. Lineage: Bacteria; Pseudomonadati; Nitrospinota.
UCCGGGGUCGUCUAACUGGCAGGACAGCAGACUCUGGAUCUGCGAACCGAGGUUCGAAUCCUCGCCCCGGAGCCA